Molecule: ribosomal RNA, 774 nt
Filed under: uncultured Neocallimastigales
Lineage: Eukaryota; Fungi; Neocallimastigomycota; Neocallimastigomycetes; Neocallimastigales
Description: partial large subunit ribosomal RNA
Rfam family: Eukaryotic large subunit ribosomal RNA
Source: RNAcentral
UCAGACGAUGCGUCAUGCAUAUCAAUAAGCGGAGGAAAAGAAACUAACAAGGGUUCCCUCAGUAACGGCGAGGUGAAGCGGGAAGAGCUCAAAUUUGAAAUCUUCAAGGUUUUACCUUGACGAAUUGUAGUUUAAAGAAGUGUUUUCUGCUGAAGUUUUGGUAAAAGUUCUUUGGAAUAGGACAUCAUAGAGGGUGAGAAUCCCGUAUUUGACCUUUACUUUCAACUUUGUGAUACACUUUCAAAGAGUCGGAUUGUUUGGGAAUGCAGUCCAAAAUGGGUGGUAAAUUCCAUCUAAAGCUAAAUAUUGGCGAGAGACCGAUAGCGAACAAGUACCGUGAGGGAAAGAUGAAAAGAACUUUGAAAAGAGAGUUAAACAGUACGUGAAAUUGUCAAAAGGGAAGCGUUUGACACCAGUGUUGUUUUCUCGAAAAUCAAUUAAAAAUGGCUCGAUUUUGUAUUGCUGAGACCUUAAAAGCUCACUGUACAUUUUUCGUGUCUUUUUUAAUGCACUUUUCGUUUAACAAGUCAACAUCAGUUUCUUUUGUUGUAAAAGGGUCAUUGGAAGGUGGCUUUCUUUUCGGAGAAAGUGUUUAUAGCCUUUGGCCUCUGCAAUCGGAGAGACUGAGGUCUGCAGCGUAGACUCUUCGGGGUUAGAUACAUUUGUGCUAAGUUAUAGCUUUUUAUAGACAACUUGUUGACUAUAAUUAGUCUUGUAGCUUACUCGCUUAUGCUAUUUUACCUACGCUUAGGAUGUUGACUGAUAUGUAGUCGU